AUUGAACGCUGGCGGCAGGCCUAACACAUGCCAGUCGAACGGUAACAGGAAGAAGCUUGCUUCUUUGCUGACGAGUGGCGGACGGGUGAGUAAUGUCUGGGAAACUGCCUGAUGGAGGGGGAUAACUACUGGAAACGGUAGCUAAUACCGCAUAACGUCGCAAGACCAAAGAGGGGGACCUUCGGGCCUCUUGCCAUCGGAUGUGCCCAGAUGGGAUUAGCUAGUAUGUGGGGUAACGGCUCACCUAGGCGACGAUCCCUAGCUGGUCUGAGAGGAUGACCAGCCACACUGGAACUGAGACACGGUCCAGACUCCUACGGGAGGCCGCAGUGGGGAAUAUUGCACAAUGGGCGCAAGCCUGAUGCAGCCAUGCCGCGUGUAUGAAGAAGGCCUUCGGGUUGUAAAGUACUUUCAGCGGGGAGGAAGGGAGUAAAGUUAAUACCUUUACUCAUUGACGUUACCCGCAGAAGAAGCACCGGCUAACUCCGUG
RNAcentral lists this ribosomal RNA (490 nucleotides) under uncultured bacterium. RNAcentral describes it as "partial 16S ribosomal RNA". It matches the Rfam family "Bacterial small subunit ribosomal RNA", at positions 30 to 507 of the family's 1533-position model. The record is from RNAcentral.